GUGCCAGCAGCCGCGGUAAAACGUAGGAACCGAGCGUUAUCCGAAUUUACUGGGCGUAAAGCGCGUGUAGGCGGUUCGGUAAGUUGGAUGUGAAAUCUCCUGGCUCAACUGGGAGAGGUCGUUCAAUACUGUCGAACUUGAGGGUGGUAGAGGGAGGUGGAAUUCCCGGUGUAGUGGUGAAAUGCGUAGAUAUCGGGAGGAACACCAGUGGCGAAAGCGGCCUCCUGGACCAUUCCUGACGCUCAGACGCGAAAGCUAGGGGAGCAAACGGGAUUAGAAACCCCGGUAGUCCUAGCUGUAAACGAUGUUGACUUGGCGUUGGUGGGGUAAAAGCCAUCAGUGCCGUAGCUAACGCGAUAAGUCAACCGCCUGGGGACUACGGCCGCAAGGUUAAAACUUCAAAGGAAUUGACGGGGGCCCGCACAAGCAGCGGAGCGUGUGGUUUAAUUCGAUGCUACGCGAAGAACCUUACCCGGGUUUGACAUAUAGGUAGUAGGGAUCUGAAAGGUGACCGACCCUUCGGGGAGCCUAUACAGGUGCUGCAUGGCUGUCGUCAGCUCGUGUCGUGAGAUGUCCGGUUAAGUCCGGUAACGAGCGCAACCCUCGCCAUAUGUUACAUGUGUCAUAUGGGACUGCCGGUAUAAAGCCGGAGGAAGGUGGGGAUGACGUCAAGUCAGCAUGGCCUUUUUGUCCGGGGCUACACACCCGCUACAAUGGCCAGUACAAUGGGUUGCAAAACCGCGAGGCGGAGCCAAUCCCCAAAGCUGGUCUCAGUUCAGAUUGUAGGCUGUAACUCGCCUACA
This 803-nucleotide ribosomal RNA is filed under the name uncultured bacterium. RNAcentral describes it as "bacterial SSU rRNA". It matches the Rfam family "Bacterial small subunit ribosomal RNA", at positions 505 to 1320 of the family's 1533-position model. The record is from RNAcentral.